This 644-nucleotide unclassified non-coding RNA is filed under the name uncultured Prochlorococcus sp. RNAcentral describes it as "partial 16S-23S ribosomal RNA intergenic spacer; may also contain 16S ribosomal RNA and 23S ribosomal RNA". The stretch from base 303 to 375 matches the Rfam family "tRNA". The record is from RNAcentral. Lineage: Bacteria; Bacillati; Cyanobacteriota; Cyanophyceae; Synechococcales; Prochlorococcaceae.
UUGUGGAGGAGGACGCCGAAGGUGGGGCUAAUGACUGGGGUGAAGUCGUAACAAGGUAGCCGUACCGGAAGGUGCGGCUGGAUCACCUCCUAACAGGGAGACAACAAAAUGUUAAAUAUUAAUUUUGUCACCUUAGGUCGAUCGGUACCUCACAUUCUUAACUUAUUAAGGAUUUUAUUUCCUAAGUUUUUUCUAGGUCACACCCAUCACUUUCCUGGGCCAUUAGCUCAGGUGGUUAGAGCGCACCCCUGAUAAGGGUGAGGUCCCUGGUUCAAGUCCAGGAUGGCCCAUAUCUCUAUGUUGGGGGUAUAGCUCAGUUGGUAGAGCGCCUGCUUUGCAAGCAGGAUGUCAGCGGUUCGAGUCCGCUUACCUCCACUGAUUACCACCUCUUCCAUAAUUUUUAGAAGGAAAUGUUUUGAGAUGUGAUCAAAAUCUGAACGAAUCUAGCUUCCUAAUUACCUUUAUUAAGAUGCUGGACUCAUUGAAUUAAUUUCAUUGUUUUCAGAGAACCUUGACAACUGCAUAGAUUAUUUUUAAAGACAAUAAGCAUCUUUAAUGAUGCAGAUUUAUUAUUUAUGCGAAUGCAUUAAUAACAAUUCUAUUAAGCUGAUGCUUCAAUUUUGAAGUUAUUGGUCAAGCUACAA